RNAcentral lists this ribosomal RNA (485 nucleotides) under uncultured bacterium. Its description in RNAcentral is "partial 16S ribosomal RNA". It matches the Rfam family "Bacterial small subunit ribosomal RNA", at positions 30 to 506 of the family's 1533-position model. The record is from RNAcentral.
AUUGAACGCUGGCGGCAUGCCUUACACAUGCAAGUCGAACGGCAGCACGGGUGCUUGCCCCUGGUGGCGAGUGGCGAACGGGUGAGUAAUACAUCGGAACAUGUCCUGUAGUGGGGGAUAGCCCGGCGAAAGCCGGAUUAAUACCGCAUACGAUCCACGGAUGAAAGCGGGGGACCUUCGGGCCUCGCGCUAUAGGGUUGGCCGAUGGCUGAUUAGCUAGUUGGUGGGGUAAAGGCCUACCAAGGCGACGAUCAGUAGCUGGUCUGAGAGGACGACCAGCCACACUGGGACUGAGACACGGCCCAGACUCCUACGGGAGGCAGCAGUGGGGAAUUUUGGACAAUGGGCGAAAGCCUGAUCCAGCAAUGCCGCGUGUGUGAAGAAGGCCUUCGGGUUGUAAAGCACUUUUGUCCGGAAAGAAAUCCUUGACUCUAAUACAGUCGGGGGAGGACGGUACCGGAAGAAUAAGCACCGGCUAACUACGU